UACGGAGGAUGCGAGCGUUAUCCGGAUUUAUUGGGUUUAAAGGGUGCGUAGGCGGAUUAAUAAGUCAGUGGUGAAAUCCUGCAGCUUAACUGCAGAACUGCCGUUGAUACUGAUAGUCUUGAGUUUGGUUAAGGUAGGCGGAAUGUGUAAUGUAGCGGUGAAAUGCUUAGAUAUUACACAGAACACCAAUUGCGUAGGCAGCUUACUGAGCCGACACUGACGCUGAGGCACGAAAGCGUGGGGAUCAAACAGGAUUA
Molecule: ribosomal RNA, 257 nt
Filed under: uncultured prokaryote
Description: partial 16S ribosomal RNA
Rfam family: Bacterial small subunit ribosomal RNA
Source: RNAcentral